Molecule: ribosomal RNA, 377 nt
Filed under: uncultured bacterium
Lineage: Bacteria
Description: bacterial SSU rRNA
Rfam family: Bacterial small subunit ribosomal RNA
Source: RNAcentral
UAAUACAGAGGGAGCAAGCGUUGUUCGGAAUUACUGGGCGUAAAGGGCGCGUAGGCGGCUUAACAAGUCCCGUGUGAAAUCCCUCGGCUCAACUGAGGAACUGCACGGGAAACUGUUUGGCUUGAGUUCGGGAGAGGGAAGCGGAAUUCCGGGUGUAGCGGUGAAAUGCGUAGAUAUCCGGAGGAACACCGGUGGCGAAGGCGGCUUCCUGGACCGACACUGACGCUGAGGCGCGAAAGCUAGGGGAGCAAACGGGAUUAGAUACCCCGGUAGUCCUAGCCGUAAACGAUGGACACUAGGUGUUGGUGGUAUCAACCCCGCCAGUGCCGAAGCUAACGCAUUAAGUGUCCCGCCUGGGGAGUACGGCCGCAAGGCUA